UGAAGUCGAAGUCACAGCCAUUUCGCUUCUCUAUCAACUCAAGCUUCGAUUUGUUUUCUUCGGUUUCGGCUGCUUCGUCCUCCGGGUUUGGCACCGAAAAAAGACCCAACCCGCCUAGGAUGCCAGCCCAGCCGCCUAGCGCCCGCCUAGCCGCCAAGCUGCCGCCUAGGCCGAUUUUUCGAACACUGCGAUUGACUGAAAGUCUGAAACUCGAAAUUGAAAAAAUUUAGCUGCAAAUUUGAGCUUGAGAUUGAGAUUGGGAAGCCGAAGCAGUGAAGCACAAGUCAAGUCCAUAGAAGAAGAGAUCAUGAGAUUCUUAAUUCAUCUAAUUCCAUUCCUCUCCCUGUUUCCCGCUUUAUUCUCUUCUCUCUUGGCUGUCUCCCAAACCACAUGUUCACCUCACCACACCAACGACAACGACGACAAUUCCUCCCUUUGCCAACUCUGCCUUAUUCUCUUCUCUCUUCGCAUUGAUGGCCUGGCGCAGAAGAAAAAAAUACAAAAUUUGCUGAUUUGGUGUCUGUCUUUAGUGGAAGGAAAUGAUGAAGCUAUCCUAUCAUGGAGUUUCUAUGGUCUUGCCAAUAACAAGGAUGAAAGUGAAGUUUUCUUCAGGAUCAAAAGAAGUACAAAGCUACAGAAACUGGUUGAUGCUUUGUGUACCACCGUUCCCUCGAUCCUGAAUCAUUAAUAAUUUGGUUUGAGAAUGACCACAUUCACAAGUAGAAGACUGCUGGGGAGCAUCAAAUGGAAGACGGUGAUGAAAUCAAUUAAAAACACAAAACGGGGAGUAAGGAGAAGCUUAAGUAAGGAUGAUUUCUUUACCAAAAAAAAAUAAGGAUAUUUGUUUGGUGAUAGGACAAUUACGGCCUUGCUUGCUUUGGUAAUUCCUUCUUAGCUUUAGCUUAGCAGAUGAUGCCAAAGAGUCUCUUGCUUUUGAAAAGGAAAAAAAAAAGGGCCCUACUUGCUUUUCCAAAAAGGAAAUACUAGAAUUGCUUCCUCGUGAUGUAGUUGCCUCUGUAUUAUUGCUGGACUAGUAACUAGUUUCUUACUUUUUGUUGUUGGAAUGCAGAAGGUGUUUGAUGAAUGAACAAUUAUCCAACACUCCAUCAAUUAAUUCUCUUGUUUGUUCUUAUUAUAUAGGAAAAGGAUUACCACACGAUUGUUUUCCCAGGUUUCUUUGUAUUCUUUUGAAAUUUAUGUUUUUUUUUUUCAAUCAAUUUGGUGUUUAAUUAACUUAUUGUAUACAGAUGUAAUUAUAUUAAAUCGUUGUUGCAGAUGGAUGAACAAAGAUGGGAGGACUUAGAAAUGGACUGCUUGGUCAAAGUGUUGGAGGAAGUGGGAAUGGAGUCACUGCUUUUGGAUGUCCCUUUUGUGUGCAAGUCAUGGUACAAGGCGGCCCUCAAUCCUUCAUGCUGGCAAUCUCUCAUUUUCCCAGACAAUGAAUGUAUGGAAGUCUGGCCUUGGGAUGUGUCUGAAUGUCCGAAUUUUCAAAAUCUUAUGGACAGAUUUGCAAGUGAGUAUCAAAUUGAUGGGGAUCGUUGCUCUGUCUCCGCUUUUCUAAAGUUUGUUAUCAAUCGGAGCAGCGGAAACGCUAUUGUGCUCAAGCUUCCCAAACGCUGCACAGUAGAGCCUUUGAAUUUGCUGCAAAUGUGCAAGUUUUCUCAUUUUCACUUGUUUAACAAAACAAGUUAAUUUUCAGAACCCUCAAGUAUACCCAGUUUAAUUUUCAAAACCCUCAAGCCUUUGAAUGUGCUCAAGCUUCCUCUUCGCCCAAGUUGCCAUAGCAUCUACUGGAGAGUUUAGGUUGUACAUUUGAUAGAUACCCAAGGGUGGGCAUGGAGGAAGAGAGAUGUGGCGAUUUACAUGGAGAAAAAGAGAGUUUUUGGACCUGUGCCAU
This is a long non-coding RNA of Prunus persica (peach), 1897 nucleotides long. RefSeq lists it as uncharacterized. NCBI's taxonomy places the organism in Eukaryota, Viridiplantae, Streptophyta, Magnoliopsida, Rosales, Rosaceae. The record is from RefSeq and is a predicted model, not a curated record. The transcript is spliced from 3 exons.